AAAGAAAUUAAAAUAAAAAGGAAACUAAAAACGAAAAAAAUGUUGACAAAAUUUCAACAUCAAAAUUCAAGAGGUUAAAAAAAAAAAAAAAAGGAAAAAAACACAGAGAAAUGCAGAGACUGAUUAGGGUUAGGGUUUCAAAGCAUGGAUUCUCCUGAACCUUCUAAAGCCCCAAUUUCCUCUUCUUCUGCUGCAGCCUCUAUUUCUGCUUCUUCCCCAGUUCAAGAAUCCCCUUUUUCCAAUUACAUUAGCAGUCUAUCUCCUAUAAAGCAUGUCAAGGUGCCACAUGUAGCUCAAGGGUUCCUGGGACUUAAUUCUCCCCCUCUUGUAUUUACAUCCCCACAUAUAAAUACACUUAGAAGGCCGCAGUCAUCCAGUGUGGAAGUAUCUCAAAAUGGUGAAGGAGAUAAGAAAAAUAUAGAUGGUCCUGGUAGUUUGGAAAGAUCUGUUUCUGAAUUGCAGCAGGGCUUGAUCACUGAUAUUAAGAAGGAGGAUGAUACCAAGGACUCUGUGUCGGUCCAACCGAGUAGUUCCUCUGGCUGUGUUGAUGAAUACUUGGCUGAUCCUGUGGAAGCAGACUGUGCAAACUCUGAAUAUUCCAUAAACUUAAAUUGCAAAGAAUCAAAAAAUGCGUUUCAAUCAUCAGUAAAUGGUUUACUAGAAACAAAGAAUUUAAAAUUUGCUGGCAAAAAUGAUGUGGGGAGGGAAAUUGAUGCAGCCCAAUUGUUGUCAGGGCAGAGUGAAGAAGGCCUUGAAAGAAAGUUAACCUCUAAUGUCAAGCCAGUGAAGAUUGAAGAUGAGCAACAUGCUGGUCAAGUGAAAUCUGAUGAAUGCCCCGAAUUUGGGUCUGACAUGUUUGAUCUUUCUUCUCAGGGAAAAGAAUGCAAAAACUUGGAUGCUCAGAAAGUAGUAGAGGACCAUGAGGAUAGAUGUGAUGGUUUCCUUCAACUGCUGCCUGGAUCUUUGCAAAGGGUUCAGGAAUAUGAAGAUUUUGCUGAACAUUUUGAAGGAGUUGCAGAGGUUACAGUUGAUAGCAUGACAAAUGAUCUUGAGGCUAGCGAACACCAACGUGGCAUGAGUAGGCGUUGCCUUCAAUUUGGAGAUGCUCAGCCAGAAGCUACAGCAAAUUGCAGCAGUUCAAGUCUAGCAAAUGAUAUGAUCACUUCAAGAUCAGUUGCUACAACAUCAGAAACAGAGGGUUUGGGUUUGUCUCAUGUGGAUUUAAGUGUUAUAUCAAGAAAGAGGCAACUAGUUAACUUGUCCCAAUUAGCGAUAAACAUGAUUCCCCAGCACUAUGGUGAAAAGUCUUCCUUAACUGUUUCCAAGCCAUCAGGUAUUGGCUUACACCUAAACAGCAUUGUUAAUGCUAUACCAAUGGGUCGAGGUGGAACUGCAAGCAUGAAAUUGGCAGUGGAUUCUAUGGGUAUACAGGGGAUAAAAUCAGCAUCUGUUAUGAGCUGUCAGUCAAUGGAAAACAUGCAGAGUUGCUCAGAUGCAUUUGAGAAAGUAUUGGCUGCUCCUCAGGAUGGAACACUUGAAGCAAAGGCUUGUAUGAUUCCAGGUUCUGCUGCUUCUGAAUCACUCUGCACCAUGGAAUCGAUUGAGUGUCAGAUGACUCUACACAGAAAGAGGGAGCUUAGCUCGGAGCAUGGAGAUAGUAAUGAGAUGUUUAACCAACAAAGCCCCAAAAAGAAAAGGAAGAAAUCAUCAAACAGCACUGAUGGUGAGGGUUGCAAGCGUUGCAAUUGCAAGAAGACCAAAUGCUUGAAACUCUAUUGUGAUUGUUUUGCUGCCGGAAUCUAUUGUGCUGAUCCUUGUUCCUGCCAAGGUUGCUUCAACCGACCUGAAUAUGAAGAUACAGUUCUUGAGACACGUCAACAAAUUGAAUCCCGUAAUCCACUAGCAUUUGCCCCCAAGAUUGUACAGCCAGUCACCGAGUUUCCAGUAACUAGCAGGGAAGAUGGAAACUGGAAGACACCAUCCUCAGCAAGACACAAAAGAGGGUGCAAUUGCAAAAGGUCAAUGUGUCUGAAAAAAUAUUGUGAAUGCUAUCAGGCUAAUGUUGGUUGCUCCAUUGGAUGUCGAUGUGAGGGGUGUAAAAAUGUCUUUGGCAAGAAAGAAGACUAUUGUGUGACUGAAGAGAUAGUGAACAGAGGUGGUGGGGAGAUAUCAGAAAGCACAGUGGCAGCUAAGAAAGAUUUCUUGAAUUCUGACUUGUGUGAUCCACAUUAUCUUACACCUCUGACACCUUCAUUCCAAUGCUCAGACCAUGGAAAGAAUGCACCCAAAUCCAGACUUCUUUCCAGGAGAUGCCUUCCAUCACCUGAGUCUGAUCUUACCGUCUUAGCAAAAUCGCCAAGAUCUCCAAGAACUUCUGAUAGCAAUGACAUGCUUCUGGAAACAAGUAAAGAAAAUUUGGAUGUUGGUUCUUACUGUGAGGGAAUCAAUUACAACAACGCAGAUGUGCUUGGCAAUGAAUGCCAUCACACUCCACUUCCAAAUCAUCCCUCAAUUAUUUUAGGUUCCACAUCAUCCAAAGCACGGGAAUUGACAAGUCUUUCACGAUUCCCAUUGGGCCCUAGAAGCGGUUGUCUCUCUUCAGGGGGUUCCCUUCGUUGGCGUAGUUCGCCUAUUACGCCCAUGUCUUCUUUAGAUGGGACUAAGAAUCUUCAGGGGCUUGACUCUGAUGGACUUUCUGACAUUUUGGAGGAUGAUACACCUGAGAUAUUGAAAGACACAUCUACACCCAAUAAGUCUGUGAAAACAAGUUCUCCAAAUGGCAAGCGAGUUUCACCUCCUCACAAUUUGCUACAGCUUGGGUCAAGCUCUUCAGGGCCAUUAAGAAGUGGCCGUAAGUUCAUAUUAAAAGCUGUGCCUUCUUUCCCACCUCUCACUCCCUGCAUUGAUUUAAAAGGCAGCAGUAAUCAGAAUAGAAGCAGUUGCCAAGAAAAUAGUAGCAAUGAUUAAUUUUCAAACCUGCAUUUUGGAGUAAGUUGUUGCGUUUUACUGACCCCUUAUUAUGUGCAUUUUUUAGCCAAAUCACUGACUUAUGCUAGGUUUUGCUACAUUGUGCAGCAUACUGCAUUAGGUUACUUUCAUGUUGGAUUGUUGUACUUGAGCUUUAGAGAGCAUUGAGCACCUUGCUUUUAAAGUUUCAUAACUUUUUAAGGUACUAGAGCGGCCACAUUUUUAGAGCAUCGAAUAAAUACCCGGAAUGAUGGCCUCGUGAUCCCUAGUCUUCCUUUCUCUGUUUAUCUCCGUUGCUUGUCAGUCUUUUCGUUCGUUUGGAUGUUUCUAAUGCAAGCCACUUAUGGUUCAUUCCUCAUGAUUAGAGGAAGGACUCGCCAAAGCCCAAAGGUGCUGCCGUUCAACCCAGCAACAAAAAAAAAAAAAUUUAUCAACACUGAUGUCCGCAUUUCUUUCAUCUUUUUUAAUGAGAUUAUCGAAGCUAAUGUUGAGUAAGCCUUUGUUGUCCUUCUGUCAAACCUUUAUGUAAGAGUGCGCCAUUCUAUCAUCAUUGUUAUAUUUGCCGCUGGUAAAUUACUUACGUGCAACAUACUGGUCAUUAAUUCAACCAUAUACAAUUUGCCUCUGAAUCCGAAACCAUGAAGGGGAAUGUACUAAUGUUAUUUUGCGGCAAUGAUGAAAGCAAUGGAUCCAAAAUUAUUACUACAAUUUUCUCCCAACUCGAAGACCGAAGAACGGAGGACUGCAACCGUGAUUUAAACUCCACCGGCUGGGGAAGACCUUUACCUGGUUGACUUGGGUUAAUGAUUGUGUCGGCUAUUUCUUGUACAUGGGUAUUCUGCAAGUGUAAAUACAAUGUAGCCUAAGCGCUUUACAAAGUAGGUA
This is a non-coding RNA of Theobroma cacao (cacao), 3852 nucleotides long. Lineage: Eukaryota; Viridiplantae; Streptophyta; Magnoliopsida; Malvales; Malvaceae. The record is from RefSeq and is a predicted model, not a curated record.